Molecule: ribosomal RNA, 396 nt
Filed under: uncultured bacterium
Lineage: Bacteria
Description: partial 16S ribosomal RNA
Rfam family: Bacterial small subunit ribosomal RNA
Source: RNAcentral
CUACGUAGGUGACAAGCGUUAUCCGGAUUUACUGGGCGUAAAGGGCGUGUAGGCGGUCUUGCAAGUCAGAAGUGAAAUUCCUGAGCUCAACUCGGGCGCUGCUUCUGAAGCUGCAGGACUUGAGUGCUGGAGGGGAUAGCGGAAUUCCUAGUGGAGCGGUAAAAUGCGCAGAUAUUAGGAAGAACACCGGUGGCGAAGGCGGCUAUCUGGACAGUAACUGACGCUGAGGCGCGAAAGCGUGGGGAGCAAACAGGAUUAGAUACCCUGGUAGUCCACGCUGUAAACGAUGGAUACUAGGUGUGCGGGGACUGACCCCCUGCGUCCCGCAGUUAACACAAUAAGUAUCCCACCUGGGGAGUACGAUCGCAAGGUUGAAACUCAAAGGAAUUGGCGGGG